RNAcentral lists this ribosomal RNA (424 nucleotides) under uncultured bacterium. Its description in RNAcentral is "partial 16S ribosomal RNA". It matches the Rfam family "Bacterial small subunit ribosomal RNA", at positions 360 to 776 of the family's 1533-position model. The record is from RNAcentral.
AAUCUUCCGCAAUGGACGAAAGUCUGACGGAGCAACGCCGCGUGAGCGAAGAAGGCCUUCGGGUCGUAAAGCACUGUUGUGAGGGAAGAACAAGCACGAGAGUAACUGCUCGUACAUUGACGGUACCUAACCAGAAAGCCACGGCUAACUACGUGCCAGCAGCCGCGGUAAUACGUAGGUGGCAAGCGUUGUCCGGAAUUAUUGUGCGUAAAGCGCGCGCAGGCGGUCCUUUAAGUCUGAUGUGAAAGCCCACGGCUCAACCGUGGAGGGUAAUUGGAAACUGGGGGACUUGAGUGCAGAAGAGGAGAGUGGAAUUCCACGUGUAGCGGUGAAAUGCGUAGAGAUGUGGAGGAACACCAGUGGCGAAGGCGACUCUCUGGUCUGUAACUGACGCUGAGGCGCGAAAGCGUGGGGAGCAAACAGG